This 912-nucleotide ribosomal RNA is filed under the name Alternaria slovaca. RNAcentral describes it as "LSU rRNA". It matches the Rfam family "Eukaryotic large subunit ribosomal RNA", at positions 34 to 964 of the family's 3401-position model. Lineage: Eukaryota; Fungi; Ascomycota; Dothideomycetes; Pleosporales; Pleosporaceae. The record is from RNAcentral.
GUAAGCAUAUCAAUAAGCGGAGGACAAGAAACCAACAGGGAUUGCCCCAGUAACGGCGAGUGAAGCGGCAACAGCUCAAAUUUGAAAUCUGGCUCUUUUAGAGUCCGAGUUGUAAUUUGCAGAGGGCGCUUUGGCUUUGGCAGCGGUCCAAGUUCCUUGGAACAGGACGUCACAGAGGGUGAGAAUCCCGUACGUGGUCGCUGGCUAUUGCCGUGUAAAGCCCCUUCGACGAGUCGAGUUGUUUGGGAAUGCAGCUCUAAAUGGGAGGUACAUUUCUUCUAAAGCUAAAUAUUGGCCAGAGACCGAUAGCGCACAAGUAGAGUGAUCGAAAGAUGAAAAGCACUUUGGAAAGAGAGUCAAACAGCACGUGAAAUUGUUGAAAGGGAAGCGCUUGCAGCCAGACUUGCUUGCAGUUGCUCAUCCGGGCUUUUGCCCGGUGCACUCUUCUGCAGGCAGGCCAGCAUCAGUUUGGGCGGUAAGAUAAAGGUCUCUGUCACGUACCUCUCUUCGGGGAGGCCUUAUAGGGGAGACGACAUAUUACCAGCCUGGACUGAGGUCCGCGCAUCUGCUAGGAUGCUGGCGUAAUGGCUGUAAGCGGCCCGUCUUGAAACACGGACCAAGGAGUCUAACAUCUAUGCGAGUGUUUGGGUGUCAAGCCCGAGCGCGUAAUGAAAGUGAACGGAGGUAGGAACCCGCAAGGGUGCACUAUCGACCGAUCCUGAUGUCUUCGGAAGGAUUUGAGUAAGAGCAUGGCUGUUGGGACCCGAAAGAUGGUGAACUAUGCUUGAAUAGGGUGAAGCCAGAGGAAACUCUGGUGGAGGCUCGCAGCGGUUCUGACGUGCAAAUCGAUCGUCAAAUUUGGGCAUAGGGGCGAAAGACUAAUCGAACUAUCUAGUAGCUGGUUCCUGCCGA